RNAcentral lists this long non-coding RNA (322 nucleotides) under Homo sapiens (human). RNAcentral describes it as "HSALNT0213806". The record is from RNAcentral. Lineage: Eukaryota; Metazoa; Chordata; Mammalia; Primates; Hominidae.
CAGACUGCUGUAAGAAUGACAGCUUUGGCUCGCCACUGGGAGCAGGAUAACAUGAGAGGGAACUUGCUGAACUUGAAGACACUGACAGCCCUUCCUCUACUGGCCCAGCUUACUCUUAGUUAUGGAGACCCCAGCAAAAAUCACAAGGGCUUCAGUCACUUCACCCCUGCCUCCCACCAUCUGCCCACCAGAAGCCACCUCCAGCACAGCAGAACCACAUCAUGUGUAGCCUCGUGGAUUUAGCAUUUGUUUCUCCAUUCAGAUCUCCUGAUUACUGAACCAUAUCUAUACUUACCAUGUCCUUGGGAAACUGGGUCUUGGG